AUUGAACGCUGGCGGCAGGCCUAACACAUGCAAGUCGAACGAGUGGCGGACGGGUGAGUAACACGUGGGAACCUACCCAUCAGAGGGGGAUAACACUUGGAAACCGGUGCUAAUACCGCAUACUGAUGGAUGGACCCGCGGUGCAUUAGCUAGUAGGUGUGGUAAAGGCUCACCUAGGCGACGAUCUCUAGCGGUGCUGAGAGGAUGAUGAGCCACACUGGGACGGAGACACGGCCCAGACUCCUACGGGAGGCAGCAGUGGGGAAUAUUGCACAAUGGGCGCAAGCCUGAUGCAGCAAUGCAGCGUGUAUGAAGAAGGUCUUAGGGUUGUAAAGUAUGUUCAGCGGGGAGGCGUUAACCGCAGAAGAAGCACCGGCUAACUCCGUGACAGCCGCCGCGGUAAUUC
RNAcentral lists this ribosomal RNA (406 nucleotides) under uncultured bacterium. Its description in RNAcentral is "partial 16S ribosomal RNA". It matches the Rfam family "Bacterial small subunit ribosomal RNA", at positions 30 to 526 of the family's 1533-position model. The record is from RNAcentral.